This 861-nucleotide ribosomal RNA is filed under the name Triticum aestivum (bread wheat). RNAcentral describes it as "partial small subunit ribosomal RNA". Lineage: Eukaryota; Viridiplantae; Streptophyta; Magnoliopsida; Poales; Poaceae. The record is from RNAcentral.
AUGGCGAUGCGGCCCAAGUCCGAGAUGUCCCCGCCGCCCUCCGACCAGCGGGACGCUGUCAUCGAGGAGCUGAGAAAGGGCGCCCAGCUGGCUGACUGCCUCCGGCAACAGCUGGAGCUCAUCCCGGAGCUCGGUCGCCGCAGCGCCGCGCUGGCCAACGUGAGCAACAUCUCCACGGCCCUAGUGUCGUCCGCCUCUAUGCUGGAGUCCAACAGAGAGCAGUACAGCUGCUCUUCCUCCGACCCCGGGGCGGCGGCCUAUGCUGCCGGCGCCUCUGGUAGUGGCGGUGGCACUGGGGCACGAAAUGGAGCCAUUGCCCGCACCAGGAAGGCAAAGCACCGGCGAGGCACCCAUGGCGAGGAGCUUCCAAUCAGGGAGGUACUAACUGAAACACCAGAAAAUGAUGGGUUCCACUGGAGAAAAUAUGGCGAGAAGAAGAUCCUGAAUGCUGUUUUCCCAAGGUCAUACUACAGAUGCGGAUACAGCGACGAGCACAGGUGCCCGGCAAAGAAACUUGUGCAGCAGCAAAACAAUAGCGACCCUCCUGUGUUCAUGGUCACCAUGAUCAACGACCACACAUGCAGUAGUUUGUUCCCCGCUGAUGAUCAACCACACAGCAGCUCAAACAGUGCUACUGCUAACUCACAAGUGCUCGACUUCACCAAAGCAUCGCCCUCUUCAGCUGCUGGUGUAUGGAGGUUGAAGAAAGAGGAAGAUGCAGGAAUGUCAGUGACCGUGCCUAGCUACACGCAUGAUGAGCUGGCUUCUUAUUCCUCCUUGCCGUUGCUCUCACCGAAGGAGUGGGAGAUGGAGAUGGAGAUGAAGUCACUUUUUAGUCAUCACUCGGGAGGUGGUACUUAG